RNAcentral lists this ribosomal RNA (253 nucleotides) under uncultured bacterium. RNAcentral's name for it is "partial 16S ribosomal RNA". It matches the Rfam family "Bacterial small subunit ribosomal RNA", at positions 524 to 776 of the family's 1533-position model. The record is from RNAcentral.
GACGAAGGGGGCAAGCGUUGUUCGGAAUUACUGGGCGUAAAGGGCGCGUAGGCGGUUCUUUAAGUCAGGCGUGAAAGCCCUGGGCUCAACCUGGGAGUGGCGCUUGAUACUGGAGGACUAGAGAGUGGGAGAGGUUGGUGGAAUUCCCAGUGUAGAGGUGAAAUUCGUAGAUAUUGGGAAGAACACCGAUGGCGAAGGCAGCCAUCUGGACCGACACUGACGCUGAGGCGCGAAAGCGUGGGGAGCAAACAGG